AACGAACGCUGGCGGCAUGCCUAACACAUGCAAGUCGAACGAGACCUUCGGGUCUAGUGGCGCACGGGUGCGUAACGCGUGGGAACCUUCCCUUAGGUUCGGAAUAACUCCCCGCAAGGGGUGCUAAUACCGGAUAAUGUCUUCUGACCAAAGAUUUAUCGACUUUGGAUGGGCCCGCGUUGGAGUAGCUAUUUGGUAGGGUAAAAGCCUACCAAGGCGACGAUCCAUAGCUGGUCUGAGAGGAUGAUCAGUCACACUGGGACUGGGACACGGCCCAGACUCCUACGGGAGGCAGCAGUGGGGAAUAUUGGACAAUGGGCGAAAGCCUGAUCCAGCAAUGCCGCGUGAGUGAUGAAGACGUUAGGGUUGUAAAGCUCUUUUACCCGGGAUGAUAAUGACAGUACCGGGAGAAUAAGCUCCGGCUAACUCCGUG
Molecule: ribosomal RNA, 433 nt
Filed under: uncultured bacterium
Lineage: Bacteria
Description: partial 16S ribosomal RNA
Rfam family: Bacterial small subunit ribosomal RNA
Source: RNAcentral